Molecule: long non-coding RNA, 1338 nt
Filed under: Sarcophilus harrisii (Tasmanian devil)
Lineage: Eukaryota; Metazoa; Chordata; Mammalia; Dasyuromorphia; Dasyuridae
Description: lncRNA (ENSSHAG00000028756.1)
Source: RNAcentral
UUGCUUGACUCAAAAUGCACUUAAUAAGCAAUGACUGUAGUUCAAUAUUUUGUAAAUUAUCUCCAAAUAGUCCCUGUGACCAAGAAAAUCAUGUCAUUCCAAAAAAAAGACUGCAUUAGUCUCAGGUGAAUCUUAUUACUAAAAAUGGUGAGGAUAAGUACUGAGAAACCUGGCAUUUAUGCAGUGCCUUUGGUCUGUGAAUGCUUAUAUUGUUUUCCCUAAAGAGGAUUGUCUUUAGGACCACAAAAGGGAGGGAAUAUAUAUUUUAUAUUUCUAAAAGUUGGAAAUAGAAACUUAAAAAAAAGAAAUGGUAGUGUAUCUUUGGAUAAGGGAACACUUAACAACCACCACAAAUUUAUGACAUUUGGAACUACUGCCUUGAAGAAAAUAUUCAACUGCCAGACUAAAAUACGACAUCUUAAGGUAAUAAUAAUAAUUCCCAUUUUGAUUCAUACUAACAAUUCCCAGUGUAUCUGAUGGCAUAAACCUUCAGCUAUGUUACUCUUAUCUCUGCAUUUACCAAACACUAUAUUUGGGAAAAGGGGAAGGUAGUCCAGGAGGAAACUGGUUUUAAAAUUCUCUUUGAUAUUCCCUAUGUGCAUUUUACUUAUGCAAUACUUCCUUUACUUUUCUCAAAGGGUUGCUGUGGGAAAGCCACUUUGAAAGCCUUCAAGCACUGAAGAAAUGAGUUAUUAUUAGCACUGUUAUGUUUCAACUUUAGUAGGCAGUUACAUUUUAGAUUUUGUAUUCAGGAUACAGGUGAUGAGGCACAAGUAUAGGAUGCAUAAUCAAGAUUUUGAAUUAGGCUUUAAGUCAAUUAUGCCCCAGACUUGUGUCAAUAAAUGAUUCCCAUGGUAGAGUGGGGUAGCAGGGAGGUGUAAGGUCCCUAUCUGAACCCCACCACAUAAAUGAGAGACACCUCAUAUGCCAGUGGUAGCCGAUAGAGUAAGAAGAGUAAAAUGAAUGAAAGGAAUCAACUUUUAACUUAUUCUAAAGCACAGGAAAGACUAAAUUAAUACUGAAAUUCAGUCUAAUGCCUAUGUGAAUUUAAAUUAAUUUCAGUGAGAUAAAACUUCAGUGUGGGUCCAUAUGGGUAGUAGUUCCCAUUAGUUGUAUAGUCUGCUUCGCUAUAGAAUUUUCCAUAAAGGAAUUUGGAUACUCUAAAAGAAUAGGAUACUCCCAUAAAGAAAAGGACAUAAUGAAUUUUUGUCUGUGGAGGGCAGAUGAUUGAACCCUUUAGAUUUUUUUUUUUUUCAAAUGCGCCAACAUUGAUGUAGGUAAUUCCUUUUAGGCAACUCCCUCUCAACAGAGUUCUGUAACUUUGAGUCUUAGAGAUAG